AAAUGCCCCUAACCCCCUUCCACGGAAUAAGGAGCCGGUAUCAGGCACAAUAACCUGCCUAAAACACCUAGCCAUGCCACACCCACAAGGGUAAUCAGCAGUGAUUAACAUUGAACAUUAACGACAGUUAGACUCAGUCAGAGUAAUAUAGAGCUGGCCAACCUGGUGCCAGCCGCCGCGGCUACACCAUGAAGCUCAAAUUGACCUCCACCGGCGUAAAGCGUGACAAGGUAAUUCACCAAACUAGAAUUAAACUAAAACUGGGUAGUGAUAAGCCUGUUUUAAGGAAACUCAAAUACGAAAGUCAUUCUAGUCAAUUUCCCCCCCCCCCACGACAGCUGAGACCCAAACUUGGAUUAGAGACCCCACUAUGCUCAGCCGUAAACUUUAAUUUACACCAAAAUCGCCAGGGAACUACGAGCUAUGCUUAAAACCCAAAGGACUUGACGGCACCUCACACCCCACUAGAGGAGCCUGUCCUAUAAUCGAUACUCCCCGUUCAACCUCACCCCCCCUAGCCUUUUCAGCCUGUAUACUUCCGUCGCCAGCCCACCACAUGAGCGCCACCUAGUGGGCCCUCCGCUCAACCCGCAUAAACGUCAGGUCAAGGUGCAGCAGAUGGGGGGGGAAGAGAUGGGCUACAUUCUCUAGCAUAGAGCAUACGAAUGACUGCGCAUGAAACCCAGUCUGAAGGCGGAUUUAGAAGUAAAGGGAAAUCAAAGAGUUCCCUUUAACCUGGCACUGAGGUGUGUACACACCGCCCGUCACCCUCCUCAAAGCCCCCAGACAGUAACUAACAGCUAUCGCACGAGAGAGGAGGCAAGUCGUAACAUGGUAAGUAUACCGGAAGGUGUCCUUGGAGA
This 863-nucleotide non-coding RNA is filed under the name Craugastor sp. SBH-2008. RNAcentral describes it as "partial 12S ribosomal RNA". It matches the Rfam family "Bacterial small subunit ribosomal RNA", at positions 324 to 1522 of the family's 1533-position model. The record is from RNAcentral. Lineage: Eukaryota; Metazoa; Chordata; Amphibia; Anura; Craugastoridae.